CGGCGUCGGGACUCCGGCACGCGCACACGACUUGGAGGCAAGCGCGGCAACAAAGCACCCGGACGGGGAACUUGGCUCCGCGCAGCGUCCGAAUGCGGCGGGGACGGCCGGGCGGGAUCGCCAGGAGAGCAACGGAAGGGAUCCGGCGCGGACGCUCCACGCCUAGAGCCGGGCGCCCCCCGAGGGAAUCCCCUCCAGCGGGCGGCCCGGGGGGGUCCUUCCUGGCUGGAGGCAGGCCGCAGGAAAAGCCCAGCUGCCGGCGGGCCCCCCCGCGUCUUCUUCCCACACGCCGCGCCGGCUCCGGUGCCCUUCGGUCCGCUCCGCGUGGUCCGGGGCAGCGGCGGGAGGCUCGGGGCGCGCAGCAGGGGCUGCCCCCCGCGUGCCGGGGAAGUCUUCGGGAGGAGCCUCCCCAAAAAGGAGCGGGCUAAAAGCAGGAGAGAGGCCGCGGAAGCCGGACAACGCGAGCGCCCUCCUGGAAGGGCCGAAUCCUUGCGGUGCUGGGGGGCCACCACCCCCCCCCAGUGCCAGGCCAGCCACGACGGCAUCCCGGGUCUGCCGGCAUCCCGGGUCUCCCAGCGUGGUGCGGCCAAGCGGCGGCGGCGGCUCCAGCACCCGGCGCCUCCCCGGCCCCGAUCCCGCGGGGCACACGACCCCGCCUGGCCCCCGGCUGCCCACCGGGAGCCCCCGACCCGCCUCGCGCUGCCCUCGCCGGCACGGCCGCCGCGCUGCGCCUCGCCCCGACCGCCCCGUCCGCGGCUCCUCCGGUGCCGUGCCGCCACGCAGCGCUGCCCACCGGGACGCCUGCCCCCCCGUCCGCACCCCGCGGACGCCACCGGCUCCCCCCGACCCUGUGCCUCGAGGGCUCGCUGCCCCGUGCGCGUCCCCGCUGCCCCGUCCCAUAGGCGCUGCCCCAGAACCGGCUCUGCCACCGUUCCUCCUUCCGCUGCCCCCCGUUCACAACCGGGGGGUCCCAAACGGCCGCCCCCCUCUUUGCCGGAGCCCCAGCCCCUGGCCCAGGCGACCCCACAGCGGUGCGGGACCCCCCCCGCCCCCCGUUACAGGCGGCACCACGGGACCCCGCUCCCGGUGCCAGCCCCUCAGUGCGGUGCCAGCACAGGUCCCGGUGUGGCACCCAGCCCCGGUUCUGUUCCGGGACCGGUCCCGCUGGGGACGGCAGCGGCGCGCAGCCCGCCCCGUAACAGCGCCGCGCGUCCCGGGAGCCAGCUCCCGCCCCGGUGCGGGUGUGGAUGCAGGGACCCCGUUAUUGUGGGGCGGCUCAGCGCCAGCCCCGUAGCCGGGAUGUGCUGGGGCACGCUGCAACGGGGCUGCCUGGCCUGGAGGAAGGCCCAGAACAGGUACCGGGACCAGAUCCCCCGUCCCGGUGCAGGUACCGGGACCAGAGCAUCACCCCGGUGUGGGUCUGGUACUGGGUCCCCUGCCCCGGUGCAAGUCUGGUACCAGGCCCCAUCCCGGUGCCAGUAUCGGGACCCCCACCCCGGUGCGGGUGCCAGGACCAUAUCCCCCAACCCGGUGCAGGUACCGGGACCAGAGCAUCACCCCGGUGUGGGUCCGGUACCGGGUCCCCCUGCCCCAGUGCAAGUCCGGUACCGGGCCCCAUCCCGGUGCCAGCACCAGGACACCCACCCCAGUGCAGGUGCCGGGACCAGAGCAUCGUCCCGGUGUGGGUCCGGUACUGGGUCCCCCUGCCCUGGUGCAAGUGCGGGUACCGGGCCCCAUCCUGGUGCCGGUACCGGGUCCCCCAACCCGGUGCAAGUCCGGUACCGGGUUCCUCGACCCAGUGCCUGUCCAGUACCGGACCCCAUCCUGGUGCCAGUACUGGGACCCCCACCCCAGUGCAGGUGCCGGGACCAGAGCAUCAUCCCAGUGUGGAUCCGGUACCGGGUCCCUCUGCCCCGGUGCAAGUGCAGGUACUGGGCUCCAUCCCGGUGCUGGUACCGGUACCGGGUCCCCCGCCCCGGUGCAAGUCUGGUACCGGACCCCCUGCCCCGGUGCAAGUCCGGUACUGGGUCCCCCGUCCCGGUGCAAGUCCCGUACCGAGCCCCAUCCCGGUGCUGGCACCGGUACCGGAUCCUUCGCCCCGAUGCCUGUCCGGUACCCCCACCCCGGUGCAGGCCCAGGACCGGAGCCCCAUCCGGGUUCCGUUACCAGCCCCCCAGCCCCAGUGCCGGUACCGGCCCCCGUCCCGUU
This is a long non-coding RNA of Anser cygnoides (Swan goose), 2208 nucleotides long. The record is from Ensembl. NCBI's taxonomy places the organism in Eukaryota, Metazoa, Chordata, Aves, Anseriformes, Anatidae.